CGCAAGCCAGCGGGGCGAGGCGCCUGGGCCCUGCGCGUCAGGUCCCGGCCUGGGGCACCGGGGCUGCCAGCGUCGGAGGAGGCCUGAGACCUGGGAGGAAGCUGGAGAAAAGAUGCCCUCUGAAUCUUUGUGUUUGGCUGCCCAGGCUCGCCUUGACACCGAAUGGUUGAAAACAGAUAUACAGAUGGUAGUGUCGAACCAAGUGGAACAAAGAAAGAAGAUCUGAAUGACAAAGAGAAAAAAAAUGAAGACGAAACUCCUGCACCUGUAUAUAGGGCCAAGUCAAUUCUGGAGACCUGGGUGUGGGUCAAGCAACCAGGAAACGGAAGCCCAAAGAGGAGGGGAGCUUACAGCAGGCCCUGGACUAGGGAUUAACACAAAAACAACAGCAACAAAUCUGAUUUAAGCUUCACACAUGUAAGUAAAACAUUACCAUCCCCAUUUUACAGAUGUGAAAAGAGAGGCCCAAAGAGCUCGAGCAAUUUUCCCUAAACCGUGUCCCUCGCAGUUGGAGAGAGAAGUAGGACUCAAACCCAGAAUUCUUAGCCA
This 549-nucleotide long non-coding RNA is filed under the name Homo sapiens (human). RNAcentral's name for it is "non-protein coding lnc-APBA2-5:11". The record is from RNAcentral. Lineage: Eukaryota; Metazoa; Chordata; Mammalia; Primates; Hominidae.